Molecule: long non-coding RNA, 2901 nt
Organism: Bolinopsis microptera
Lineage: Eukaryota; Metazoa; Ctenophora; Tentaculata; Lobata; Bolinopsidae
Exons: 3
Source: RefSeq, a predicted model, not a curated record
AAGAGUUACGGGGCUCGCAUAUGUAGCUGCAUCAAUAGUGUAAUUGGGUUACCCGGGUAAGAUUCGCUGUCAUAUUAUACUAUAAUCUUAUUAGGUUAUUAGGGGAGGGGCACUGUUUGGACUGCAAAGAGAGUUCAUACUUUCAUAAGACAAUGUUAUGCGUGUUCACAAAUAUGAUAGGCGGUUGUGGUGUUAAGGGUUAAUUUCUAUUGAUUAUUGUUUAAGAUACUAUUGUUUAAGAUACCAUUGGAUACGUGAGGGCACUCCGAAUAGAAUUGCUCACCUAAUGCGGGGUUUGACUCAACGGGUAAAUACUAAAUACUCCUACCUAUUAAUUCUAACUAGAUAUUUACAAAUAAGUAUUUAGAAACUUACAUAAUCUCAUAUCCUCUGUCUUAUAUUCAAUAACCACACCUUGAAGUUCGAUUGUGUAAUCUAUAAGUAAUGAUAUUACUUUAUCGGUAAUAAUUAGGUAAUCAUGAUAUAAUUCUAUUAGAAAUGAUGUUACUUUAUAAUCUCAGUAAUUAAUGAUAAUGAUAUAAUUUUAUUAGAAAUGAUGUUACUUUAUUGAUAAUGAUAUUACUUUAUUAGCACUUAUAUUACUUUAUCAGAAAUAAAGCAACAUCAUUACUACAUUAUUGGUGUGCAGCAGUUUUAAUUUAUAAUAUGAACAGUGAAUAUCUCGGAUGUACCCAGUACCCAAAAAUAAUCCCGCGUGCAAAUGAACAUUAUUAUGUUAAUUACAUUAUUAUGUUACAUAACAAUGUAACAUUGAUUACAUUAUUAUGUUAAUCACAUUAUUAUGUUAAUUACAUUAUUAUGUUAAUUACCCCUCUUGAUAAUGUAUCUGGCUAGAUGUUAAAACACGUAGCUGAGAUCGGUAAUGCUGGAAGCUGAUUGGUUAAUCAAUGACUCAAUCUGUUUACCGCGUCUAUAAUAUCUCUCCCAAGAGUAUUACCAUGGUAACGCUACCAUAUAAGGUAAUAUUAUGGUGGUAUCCAGAUCUCAGAGUUGAGUCUGCUUUUAUUUGGAUCUAUCGGCAACUUAUUUCCCUUUUUGUCGAUAUGAUCUAUCUAUAAUACUAUGAACAUACUAAUUAUUUUGGUUAAUUUGACCUGGGUACAUCGCUUGCACCUUCUGAAAUUCUUCCAUCUAUCCAUCGAUAGAAAUCAAACUUAUCUCUAUAAAUUUACCUUACGUUCGUAAUGUCGCUUUUCUCCACGAUUCUAAUGUAUUUACCAAAUAUAUGUUCGUGAUAUGAGUGAACAGUGAAUGUUACUGCUUUAUUGUUGGUGUAUACUGUGUAUAUUCAGUUGAAUACUACUACUUUUCUAACUGUAUCUGAGCAUAUGUUACAGACUCGUUAUUUAUACGUUUUACUUGUGUUUGAUUAGUGAGUUUGUCUUCAAUCAGACAAUUAAUUAAUAAGAUAACUAAUUACCUUUUAAAACUUCGGUUUUAAUCAGUGUUCAAUUGUAAAGAUCUUUCUAAUUUCUAAUAUACAUUAUACUGCAGAUAAUAGUCAAUAGUUUUAUUAUUUUAUUCUAACAGUGAAAUCAUUUAACAAUAUAUGAUAUGUCUAGAAGAUCAGAUGAUAUCAGAUACCAGACAGAGAUCAGAUGUUCAACUAAAACAGCGUUUCUGCACGUGCGACGAAAUAUCUGGUGAAGUGAGUCUAGCGAAUACUGGAUAGGGUGUUAACGCAGUCCACCUUACAGACAAAAUGUUUGGCAACUCUGUGGAUAAGAAAAGUUUAUCAGAAGAACUGUUAGGAAGGUGCCAGGAUACAGAAUCUCAGAACCAACUAACAAUUAAGAAGUAGAACCUUGUCAGUAUAACGGGAAACAUGAACAAUAUUCAAAUACGAUUAUCCGAACACUUCCAGAGUGCUUGAUAUUUCAGUGACUUAUUAUAUUUUAUUAUAUCUUGAAUACGAUUAAAUAUCUUGAUUAAGAUUUAAUAUUUUGAAUGCGAUUAAAUAUUUUGAAUGCGAUUAAAUAUUUUGAAUACGGUUAAAUAUUUUGAAUUCGAAUAAAUAUUUUGAAUACGAUUAAAUAUUUUGAAUGCAAUUAAAUAUUUUGAAUACGAUUAAAUAUUUUGAAUACGAAUAAAUAUUUUGAAUGCGAUUAGAUAUUUAUAUUUUGAAUGCGAUUAAAUAUUUUGAAUGCGAUUAAAUAUUUUGAAUACGGUUAAAUAUUUUGAAUUCGAAUAAAUAUUUUGAAUACGAUUAAAUAUUUUGAAUGCGAUUGAAUACUUUGAAUACGAUUAAAUAUUUUGAAUACGAUUAAAUAUUUUGAAUACGAUUAAAUAUUUUGAAUGCGAUUGAAUACUUUGAAUACGAUUUAAUAUUUUGAAUGCGAUUGAAUACUUUGAAUACGAUUUAAUAUUUUGAAUGCGAUUGAAUACUUUGAAUGCGAUUAAAUGUUUUGAAUGCGAUUGAAUAUUUUGAAUACGAUUAAAUAUUUUGAAUACGAAUAAAUAUUUUGAAUGCGAUUAGAUAUUUAUGUUUUGAAUGCGAUUAAAUAUUUUGAAUGCGAUUAAAUAUUUUGAAUACGGUUAAAUAUUUUGAAUUCGAAUAAAUAUUUUGAAUACGAUUAAAUAUUUUGAAUGCGAUUGAAUACUUUGAAUACGAUUAAAUAUUUUGAAUACGAUUAAAUAUUUUGAAUACGAUUAAAUAUUUUGAAUGCGAUUGAAUACUUUGAAUACGAUUUAAUAUUUUGAAUGCGAUUGAAUACUUUGAAUGCGAUUAAAUGUUUUGAAUGCGAUUGAAUAUUUUGAAUACGAUUACAUUUUUUAAUCGGUUUAUUUAUGAAAAUUACAAUUUUUCUUAUUUAAAUUUAUAGUUUAAAUUUGUAUAUCACUAUGAUCUGCUUCCAAUAUUUGUUUGAAAUAAAUUACAUA